GGAUGCAAUCAUACCAGCAUUGAAGCACC
Molecule: ribosomal RNA, 29 nt
Filed under: Hordeum vulgare
Lineage: Eukaryota; Viridiplantae; Streptophyta; Magnoliopsida; Poales; Poaceae
Also listed under: 2 other names
Source: RNAcentral